Molecule: ribosomal RNA, 1205 nt
Filed under: Enterobacter asburiae
Lineage: Bacteria; Pseudomonadati; Pseudomonadota; Gammaproteobacteria; Enterobacterales; Enterobacteriaceae
Description: bacterial SSU rRNA
Rfam family: Bacterial small subunit ribosomal RNA
Source: RNAcentral
CGGGGGCGGCCCUAACACAUGCAGUCGAGCGGCAGCGGAAGUAGCUUGCUACUUUGCCGGCGAGCGGCGGACGGGUGAGUAAUGUCUGGGAAACUGCCUGAUGGAGGGGGAUAACUACUGGAAACGGUAGCUAAUACCGCAUAACGUCGCAAGACCAAAGAGGGGGACCUUCGGGCCUCUUGCCAUCAGAUGUGCCCAGAUGGGAUUAGCUAGUAGGUGGGGUAACGGCUCACCUAGGCGACGAUCCCUAGCUGGUCUGAGAGGAUGACCAGCCACACUGGAACUGAGACACGGUCCAGACUCCUACGGGAGGCAGCAGUGGGGAAUAUUGCACAAUGGGCGCAAGCCUGAUGCAGCCAUGCCGCGUGUAUGAAGAAGGCCUUCGGGUUGUAAAGUACUUUCAGCGGGGAGGAAGGUGUUGAGGUUAAUAACCUCAGCAAUUGACGUUACCCGCAGAAGAAGCACCGGCUAACUCCGUGCCAGCAGCCGCGGUAAUACGGAGGGUGCAAGCGUUAAUCGGAAUUACUGGGCGUAAAGCGCACGCAGGCGGUCUGUCAAGUCAGAUGUGAAAUCCCCGGGCUCAACCUGGGAACUGCAUUCGAAACUGGCAGGCUAGAGUCUUGUAGAGGGGGGUAGAAUUCCAGGUGUAGCGGUGAAAUGCGUAGAGAUCUGGAGGAAUACCGGUGGCGAAGGCGGCCCCCUGGACAAAGACUGACGCUCAUGUGCGAAAGCGUGGGGAGCAAACAGGAUUAGAUACCCUGGUAGUCCACGCCGUAAACGAUGUCGACUUGGAGGUUGUGCCCUUGAGGCGUGGCUUCCGGAGCUAACGCGUUAAGUCGACCGCCUGGGGAGUACGGCCGCAAGGUUAAAACUCAAAUGAAUUGACGGGGGCCCGCACAAGCGGUGGAGCAUGUGGUUUAAUUUCGAUGCAACGCGAAGAACCUUACCCUACUCUUGACAUCCAGAGAACUUUCCAGAGAUGGAUUGGUGCCUUCGGGAACUCUGAGACAGGUGCUGCAUGGCUGUCGUCAGCUUCGUGUUGUGAAAAUGUUGGGUAAGUCCCGCACGAGCGCAACCCAUAUUCUUUGUUGCAGCGGUUCAGGCCGGAACUCAAGGAACUGCAGUGAAUAACCUGAGAGGUGGAGAUGACGUCAAGUCAUCAUGGCCUUACGAGUUAGGCCUACACGGUGUCAUACAUAGUGGGC